GACGAACGCUGGCGGCGUGCCUAAUACAUGCAAGUAGAACGCACAGUUUAUACCGUAGCUUGCUACACCAUAAACUGUGAGUUGCGAACGGGUGAGUAACGCGUAGGUAACCUGCCUGGUAGCGGGGGAUAACUAUUGGAAACGAUAGCUAAUACCGCAUAAUAUUGAUUAUUGCAUGAUAAUUGAUUGAAAGAUGCUAUUGCAUCACUACCAGAUGGACCUGCGUUGUAUUAGCUAGUAGGUGAGGUAACGGCGCACCUAGGCGACGAUACAUAGCCGACCUGAGAGGGUGAUCGGCCACACUGGGACUGAGACACGGCCCAGACUCCUACGGGAGGCAGCAGUAGGGAAUCUUCGGCAAUGGACGAAAGUCUGACCGAGCAACGCCGCGUGAGUGAAGAAGGUUUUCGGAUCGUAAAGCUCUGUUGUAAGAGAAGAACGGGUGUGAGAGUGGAAAGUUCACACUGUGACGGUAUCUUACCAGAAAGGGACGGCUAACUACGUG
RNAcentral lists this ribosomal RNA (505 nucleotides) under uncultured bacterium. RNAcentral describes it as "partial 16S ribosomal RNA". It matches the Rfam family "Bacterial small subunit ribosomal RNA", at positions 28 to 507 of the family's 1533-position model. The record is from RNAcentral.